AUUGAACGCUGGCGGCAUGCUCCUACACAUGCAAGUCGGACGGCAGCACAGAGAAGCUUGCUUCUUGGGUGGCGAGUGGCGAACGGGUGAGUAAUAUAUCGGAACGUACCGAGUAAUGGGGGAUAACUAAUCGAAAGAUUAGCUAAUACCGCAUAUUCUCUGAGGAGGAAAGCAGGGGACCUUCGGGCCUUGCGUUAUUCGAGCGGCCGAUAUCUGAUUAGCUAGUUGGUGGGGUAAAGGCCUACCAAGGCGACGAUCAGUAGCGGGUCUGAGAGGAUGAUCCGCCACACUGGGACUGAGACACGGCCCAGACUCCUACGGGAGGCAGCAGUGAGGAAUUUUGGACAAUGGGCGCAAGCCUGAUCCAGCCAUGCCGCGUGUCUGAAGAAGGCCUUCGGGUUGUAAAGGACUUUUGUCAGGGAAGAAAAGGCUGUUGCUAAUAUCGACAGCUGAUGACGGUACCUGAAGAAUAAGCACCGGCUAACUACGUGCCAGCAGCCGCGGUAAUACGUAGGGUGCGAGCGUUAAUCGGAAUUACUGGGCGUAAAGCGAGCGCAGACGGUUACUUAAGCAGGAUGUGAAAUCCCCGGGCUCAACCUGGGGAACUGCGUUCUGAACUGGGUGACUAGAGUGUGUCAGAGGGAGGUAGAAUUCCACGUGUAGCAGUGAAAUGCGUAGAGAUGUGGAGGAAUACCGAUGGCGAAGGCAGCCUCCUGGUAUAACACUGACGUUCAUGCUCGAAAGCGUGGGUAGCAAACAGG
Molecule: ribosomal RNA, 761 nt
Filed under: Neisseria subflava
Lineage: Bacteria; Pseudomonadati; Pseudomonadota; Betaproteobacteria; Neisseriales; Neisseriaceae
Description: bacterial SSU rRNA
Rfam family: Bacterial small subunit ribosomal RNA
Source: RNAcentral